UGGCAUGAGUAGCGAUAAAUGGGGUGAGAAUCCCCAUCACCGAAAGCCUAAGGUUUCCUGAGUAAAGUUCGUCUGCUCAGGGUUAGUCGGGACCUAAGGUGAGGCCGAGAGGCGUAGCCGAUGGGAAACGGGUUAAAUAUUCCCGUACCACCUGUAUGGGUGUUUGAGCCCGAGGGGUGACGCAGGAGUGAAGGCCAUCCGGGUGUUGGAUGUCCCGGUCUAAGCGCGUAGGCGGGGCUGGUAGGCAAAUCCGCCGGCCCGUUACCGCCGAGACGCGAAUGGGAUCCCUUCGGGGAGCAAACUGGCCGUAAUCACACUGCCAGGAAAAACCUCGCGGGUGAAUCCAUCAGGUGCCCGUACCGCAAACCGACACAGGUAGGCGGGGAGAGAAUCCUCAGGUGCGCGAGUGAGCCCUCGUUAAGGAACUCGACAGAUUGGCCCCGUAACUUCGGGAGAAGGGGUGCCCGCGGUAGGUGAAUCCCCUUGCGGGAGGAGCCGAGGCGGGUUGCAGUGGCCAGGCCCAGGCGACUGUUUACUAAAAACACAGGACUCUGCUAACUCGUAAGAGGACGUAUAGGGUCUGACACCUGCCCGGUGCCGGAAGGUUAAGGGGAGCCGUUAUCCCGCACCCAUUUUAAUUUAUCUCUAAUAGAGGUGAAUGAUGUAUUAUGUAUAUGUGCUUCAGUGUAGAGACGAUGCAGCUAAAAGCUACAUCGGCUAUACGGAAGAUUUAAGGCGGCGCAUGCGUCGGCAUAAUUCACCUGGUAAUCGGGGUUAUACCAGUGGUCGUGAAUGGCGGUUGGUAUAUUAUGAGGCAUAUUUAUCCGCCGAAGAUGCGCGAUUGCGAGAAAGGCGUUUGAAACAAGAUGGUCGAGCGCGAUACCAGUUGAUGCAACGGAUCCAACGGAGUUUAGAGGUAGAUUAAAAUGGGUGCGGGAGAAGCGGUGAACCGAAGCCCCGGUAAACGGCGGCCGUAACUAUAACGGUCCUAAGGUAGCGAAAUUCCUUGUCGGGUAAGUUCCGACCUGCACG
The sequence is a ribosomal RNA, 1032 nucleotides long. It matches the Rfam family "Bacterial large subunit ribosomal RNA", at positions 1298 to 1994 of the family's 2925-position model.